AACCAGAAGGCGCAAUGAAAGUGAAGGCACGGUUGCCGUGCUGAGGUGAGAGCUGUCCCUGGCAGCACAUCAUCGACCGAUCCCAUCCGCACCCUUGUGGCGCGGCGGGAUUCGAGUAAGAGUGUACCUGUUGCGACCCGAAAGAUGGUGAACUAUGCCUGAAUAGGGUGAAGCCAGAGGAAACUCUGGUGGAGGCCCGUAGCGAUUCUGACGUGCAAAUCGAUCGUCAAAUUUGGGUAUAGGGGCGAAAGACUAAUCGAACCAUCUAGUAGCUGGUUCCCUCCGAAGUUUCCCUCAGGAUAGCUGUAGCCCGAAGCAGUUUUAUCAGGUAAAGCGAAUGAUUAGAGGUAUCGGGGAAGAAACUUCCUCGACCUAUUCUCAAACUUUAAAUAGGUAAGAAGUCCGACUUGCUUAAUUUGAAGCCGGACACAGAAUGCUGGGUUACUAGUGGGCCAUUUUUGGUAAGCAGAACUGGCGAUGCGGGAUGAACCGAACGCUGAGUUAAGGUGCCAAAGUCGACGCUCAUCAGAUCCCACAAA
Molecule: ribosomal RNA, 539 nt
Filed under: Luffariella sp. RF053
Lineage: Eukaryota; Metazoa; Porifera; Demospongiae; Dictyoceratida; Thorectidae
Description: eukaryotic LSU rRNA
Rfam family: Eukaryotic large subunit ribosomal RNA
Source: RNAcentral